RNAcentral lists this ribosomal RNA (250 nucleotides) under uncultured bacterium. RNAcentral's name for it is "partial 16S ribosomal RNA". It matches the Rfam family "Bacterial small subunit ribosomal RNA", at positions 524 to 776 of the family's 1533-position model. The record is from RNAcentral.
UACGUAGGCAGCAAGCGUUGUUCGGAAUUACUGGGCGUAAAGGGUGCGUAGGCGGCUUUUUAAGUUUGGUGUGAAAUCUCCCGGCUCAACUGGGAGGGUGCGCCGAAUACUGAGAAGCUAGAGUGUGGGAGAGGAAAGUGGAAUUCCUGGUGUAGCGGUGAAAUGCGUAGAUAUCAGGAGGAACACCGGUGGUGUAAACGGCUUCUGGACCAUAACUGACGCUGAGGCACGAAAGCGUGGUAGCAACAGG